AGGUGAGACAGGCUCACAGCUGUGCGUCAGCAUCUGCUGCUGCUCACCAGACUCAGAGGACGAGAGGCUGCGCUCAACAGACACCGACAAACACGCUGCAUUAGUAUCGUCUGGCAAGAUGAAGAGGAAGCAUCUCUCACUGUCUCUAUUCAUAAUGUGCAGCACUUUAUUUGAAUGUACAACCUCGAAUGCUUCCUCAGCUAAACCUCAGGGUCCCAUAUUCCCCCUUAGAUAUCCCUUUAAUCACAGACUUAAAUAACAAUGUGCAAUAAUGUGUUUUGCUUAUUGUUAAUUCAUUUGAGCGUCACCGUGCAGAAUGAAGUAUGUGCAGAGUUUGAUACGAGUAGGCUGUUUUCAGAUGAAUGUGCCGAGGGGGUUUCUCUCUGCUCACCUCAAACUUGGUGGAUUUUAUUUUGUCACAUCGCAAUUGAAAGUCCCAUAAUCUGCGUAAAUACACCGAACUGCAGUUAAAAUAAGGUUAUUUGUUCAUUUACAGAUUGUGGAGUAGACAUAUAGCAAAAAGCAGAUUCUUUUGAUAUGCUUUGAAACAUAUCUUGAGGGGAUCUUUAAGUGGAUUCCGUUGUUAAAAGCUACAGUAUAUUACCCUUAUAUAAAGAAACACAUUCACAUGCAAGAUUAAAUAUAUAUAACUAUUUUCAACUUUACCAGUUAAUGUCCAGUAUGUUGAGCUGAAAUGAACAGAAGUUGACAUCCCAAACCAAAACAUGUAAUCCUGAAUUUGUUUAAAUUGUUAAUGGCUGCAGCAUUACGUCACAUGAAUACAUGUCCUGAGCAUUAUCAUAUGCACAUCUUGUAGACAUUUUUCACGAUAUAUUCUACUUGAAAUCUCCAAGGGUGAAUUAACAUUUUGGAGAUAAAGCCACACUAUAUGGCCUGAAAAUGAUCCGUUCUGCAUUAUAAUUUUAAGGCAAUUCUGUCUUCAAAAUACCGUCUCCACAUUAAGAUAGGCUUCUAUUGUUUUAAUAUAACGUUUAGGGACUGGAAAGUGCGAAAUAUUUCAGACUAAGUGACUACAGCCUGAUGUGGAGAUGAUCUGGCCUCUGUAAACCUGAGGCAAUAAACCGCAGCUACUCCUCCAUGCUAAACCCUGGAGAUCCCUGUCAGAUUGGAUUUGUGUAAGGCCAUCAGGCUGUAACGUGAGGAGGGGAGCAUCUUUCAUGUGCAUUAUGUCCACAAUAGGACUGUGAUCCACCUUGUUCAAGCUAUGGCGUUGGCACGUAUCUCUCGCUCUGCUCCUAAAUAAUUAAAAGCACUUAGUGUGUCAGCGUCAUCGGGGACUCUGUCCACACGUUUGACCUGCCUGAUGGGGUCAAACGCAGAAAACGCAUGACUCUAGGAAUUACUGGGAAAUCUUUGUAAGACAUGUCUCCCAGGCCUUUUUAUUUAGCAGGAUGCAUCUUCUGAGGAUGCGUGUCAGAAGCAUUGUGCUUGAAACUCAUUCAGUUCCCAACAUUCAUACCACUCAAUUCUUGCAAAUGGUAUUCCCCAAAAGACGCAGUUUUCAUUUCAAUAUAUGACAAGUAGGUCUAUAGGUCAGCAACAGAAUAGCACACAUGGAUGCAUGGAGGGAAAAGCUUACCAUUUUGGGGGCCAGGAGUUUCUUUUGUUUUACUAUAGUAGAACUUUUACACUGUUCUACAAUUCCCUACGGUAGAGAUGACAAAAUCCAGGAAGAAAGUCCAAUAUUCUGGUUUUCCCGGUAAGAAUGACCAGACACUCAACUAACUGACACUUGUAUCCAAGGUUGAAUGAAGAGCAAACUAAGAGAAGGGACAGAACGUUGUGUUAUGAUGGUUAACAGUUUACCAGUAAAGUAUUUGAUUAAAAACAAAAACAAAGAUGUCAUAAAGAUGAAAAGUAGUCAUACAUCACAAAGAAGAGAUGAUUUAGGGACUAUAAUAAUAAAUUGGGCAGCACUUUUUAAGACAUGCCUUUUAAAAACCUGUCUCUGCUCCUUGGAGAAAUAGAGAAGUUCCAAGUUUUACAAAUGUACCAAUCAACAUAGCCUUCACAAGACUCCGACUACAGUUGGUAAAACAGAAUCUUUAUAUUGAUAUACUUUUAUCAUCAGAUGCAAUGGAGAUGUUGUAACUAUGUUUUUCUGUAUGAAGAGUGACAGACAUUGUUGAAUAUGUGUAUUCUAUUUGAAAACGGUUCCAAGACAGAGUUUUGGGGAUGCCAAUUAAGAAGCAAUAAACAGGCAGCUGUUCAAAUCACCCCCAGUGUCUAUGAACUGAACACUGUCUCUAUGGGCUUGUAGAGCUGGCUGGGCUCAAUCAUAUCAAAACACUGCCUGUUGUCUUUCGGUAUUCUUUAACAUAGUCUCACUUUAAAACUGUCAACAACAGAUCAAUAUCUUUGAUGGAUUUUCAGACAUUAGAAAGCAUUCCAGUGAAGCCGUGGUGUUGAAUGGCCAAACAGAGGUCAUUGUCAGUGAGGACAAAUAAUAGAUUUUACAGGAGCCCUUACACACUUUUGAGAUCUCACAUUCAGUGUGAAUGGGUUAAGGCCCUGUCACACUGUCCCGAAAUUGACUCCCGAUGGACACACGAAUAUGGAAUUGUGAAUUUCGCACGAAGAUGGCCCCGAACUUGGUCAUCGGCCAAGCAACAGCCGAAGCAACAGCCGAAGCAAGUACGAUGCCUACAGAAGGCCACACGAUGGCACCCGAACCACCCACGAAGGCGACACGUGACCUCCCGAUGGUAUAAAAGCUUUGGCCGUGUGGGAAAUCAAAUUCUUGAUUGGAGAUUAUUGGGAGCAGAACACAAGGUAAAUUCUACUUUAAAUCUACAUUGACAUGCCACCCAAGGCAGGGAGAGGCAGACGGAAGAAGCUGGCUGUUAAAUACACUCAGAAGAGGAAACUGAGGUCCAAGAACACAGCACUGAGUCUGCAACCAGAGAGAGAAAGGGGAGGAAAUGCAAGAAAGUCGGGCCAACUAAAACUCCAGAGCGGCCCCCAGAGGGUUCCAGAUCUCCUCAGCAGUCCGAAGAGUCUUGGCAGCAUUCACCUUCUCCUCGUCGUAACAGACAUCCCGAAUCCUCGGAGGAUGAAGAUGAGUCAGCCUCCCCACCCUCCCUGCAGGCAAGUCCAAGCCUGAAGUGGGCAAGGGCGACAAAGGGAAAGGCAAGGCCCAGAAGGAGAACCCACCCCCUGGUGUAUCAUACAGCUUCACAGAGGCGCAGGAGGAGGCAAUCGCUUGCUGGGUGAAGAGUAAGAAGCUACUGUAUGACAUGAAGGACAAAGAGUACAAAGAGAAGGCAUUAAAGAGGCACCUAUGGGAGGGAAAGGCUGCGGAGUACAGGUUGGAUUAUCAUUCAAUUCUGAAAUGGUAUCAAACAUAGAGGACUCGAUUCUCAAAGCUGCGGGAGGGCCAACCCAAGAAGAAAUCCCAGAAGAGGUCUGGUGAUGGUCUGUCGAGCAGUGACGAGGAAGACCCCAUCCUUGCUGAGGAGGCCAGUGAGAAUGAUAGUGACCGUGACAAGUCCAUCCGCCGGGUCUUUGGGUUUCUGAAGCCACACAUCAGACGUCACAACAAGGAAAUACCAGCUAGUUUUAAGGACAAGUUGGCCCUGGCUGAGACGGGUGAGCUGGCUGGGAGUGACGACAGUUUUGCAGACAAAUCCAGGGAGCCCAACAAGAAGUACACUGGCUACCCUACACCGAGACCUCCUUCCAGGACAGGAACAGCUGCUGAGGACCAACCCGAGUCUCCUAUGGAGAUGAGUUACCGGAGCAUCAUCCCGUGAUCUCCAAGAUAGGCUGGUUCAGUUCAUCACUAGAGAGCAGCCAAAACAAGAUGAGUACAUUGUCGAAUGCUAGAAAAGCAAAUGUGACCCGCUCUAUCGAAAUCUGUCGGAAGUCGCAACGGCUCAUUUCAAAAUAAACGUAGGCCUAUUUAAAAAAAUAGUUUUUCGGGUUUUUUGUUUGAUUUUAAAUAACACUUUUUGGACAAAAGAAAAGGAGCUUCGCUGCCCACUAGU
Gymnodraco acuticeps is the source of this 4007-nucleotide long non-coding RNA. RefSeq lists it as uncharacterized. The transcript is spliced from 4 exons. Lineage: Eukaryota; Metazoa; Chordata; Actinopteri; Perciformes; Bathydraconidae. The record is from RefSeq and is a predicted model, not a curated record.